This 465-nucleotide ribosomal RNA is filed under the name uncultured bacterium. RNAcentral's name for it is "bacterial SSU rRNA". It matches the Rfam family "Bacterial small subunit ribosomal RNA", at positions 29 to 526 of the family's 1533-position model. The record is from RNAcentral.
AACGAACGUUGGCGGCAUGGAUUAGGCAUGCAAGUCGGGGGAAUCCCAGCAAUGGGGGAACCGGCGUAAGGGGCAGUAAGGCAUGGGUACCUACCCCGGGGUUCGGGAUAGCCAUCAGAAAUGGUGGGUAAUACCGGAUGACCUCGUGAGAGCAAAGAUUUAUCGCCCUGGGAGGGGCCCAUGUGAUAUUAGCUAGUUGGUGGGGUAACGGCUCACCAAGGCUUAGAUGUCUAGCGGGUGUGAGAGCACGACCCGCGCCACUCGCACUGAGACACUGGCGAGACACCUACGGGUGGCUGCAGUCGAGAAUCUUCGGCAAUGGGCGCAAGCCUGACCGAGCGAUGCCGCGUGCGCGAUGAAGGCCUUCGGGUUGUAAAGCGCUGUCGAGGGGGAGAAAAGCCGAAAGGUUUGAUCUAUCCCUGGAGGAAGCACGGGCUAAGUUCGUGCCAGCAGCCGCCGUAAAAC